This is a long non-coding RNA of Anolis carolinensis (green anole), 3597 nucleotides long. RefSeq lists it as uncharacterized. Lineage: Eukaryota; Metazoa; Chordata; Lepidosauria; Squamata; Anolidae. The transcript has 2 exons. The record is from RefSeq and is a predicted model, not a curated record.
UGUGUGCAAGUUAUUUCCAACUUAUGCAAUCCUAAAUCCCCAUCUACACUGCUAUAUAAAAUCCAGAUUAUCUGGCAAUGUAGAUUGGAUUAUACAGCAGUGUAGAUCCAGCCUAAGGCAAACCUAUCAUAGGGCUUUCUGGGUCUGAGAGUGCAUGUCUAAGAUCACUUCUUGGGUUUCCAUGGCAGAACAGGGAAUCUAACCACUACACCACACCGGAUCAUCCUAUUUAAGUUGCCUGCUGUACUUUAAACUCACAAGGGAUAGAAUGAUGUACAUAAAAUAUUACCCCUGUUGUCCUAAUUUGGCAGGGGUGGCCCUAAUUAAUUCUGUGUUGAGCCACUUUUUAAGCUGCUUUAAAAAUGUCUGUUGGAAUGAAAUAUGCUGCCUCAGAGGUGGUGGAGUCCCCUUCUCUAGAGGUUUUCAAGCAGAGUCUGGGUGGUCAUCUGUCAGGAGUGCUUUGAUUGUAUUUUCCUGCAUGGCAGGGCAGGGGAUUGGACUGGAUGGGCCUUUCCAUCCAGACUGCCACAGACUGAAUUCCCUGAUCAGAGAAGGGGAUGGUUCCUUUUUAAAAUAAGAGAAUGUACAGUAUCAUAUUUUCUGGCGUAUAAGACAACUGGGUAUAUAAGACGACCCCCAACUUUUCCAGUUAAAAUAUAGAGUUUGGGAUAUACUCUCCGUAUAAGACUACCCGUCUUCCAACACACACCAAAUUAAAAAAAAAAAAACAUUAGAUUUGAUUUCAAUAUGUUAAUUUUAAUUCAAAUGCUUAUGACAUGCAGGUGCUUAGCAGGAAAACUGUCUCCCUGCCUGCCCAGCCCUACCUGUUUCCAAGGCUAUCGAGCGGUAGCGCAAACAUGCCUCUUUCACUCCUCUGGCCCGCCUUUGUAUCCUAUUACCAUACCUCCUCUGCCUCUUAGAUCUCUCACAUGCGCGUCUGUGCUGCUUCACUGCAGUCCUCAGGAGCGAGAUCUGAGAGACAGAGAAGGGGGUAUGAUAAUAGAAUACAGAGGCAGGCCAGACAGAUGAAAGAGGCAUGUUUUUCUGGGUACAGUGCCGCUCUAUCUCUUUUUUCCAUACCCCGGGCAUCCCAGACACCUGCAGCUUGCUCUGCCCUUCACUUACACCUUUCCGAUGAGGCGCCCCCUCACCUUGUCAUCAGGACUGCGUUAAGUCACUUCUUUCCACGAAUCCUGGAACCCCAAAACCCUUAUGUCAGAGGACUGCUGACCAACAGGUCAGGGGUUUGAAUCUGGGAAGAGUGGCUGAACUCCCUCUGUCAGCUCCAGCUCCCCAUGCGGAGACAUCAGAGAAGCCUCCCACAAGGAUGGUAAAACAUCAAACAUCUGGGCGUCCCCUGGGCAGCGUCCUUGCAGACGGCCAAUUCUCUCACACCAAAAGCGACUUGCAGUUUCUCAAGUUGCUCCUGACACGAAAAGAAAAAAACCCUCUAGUGCUUUAACUUUCUAGAAGCAGCUUGCUUGCUUGCCUCUGUGUGCAUGUGUGUGCUUUGUGAAUCAAUUCAUCAUCCACAAAAGUAAUUUUCUAAAUCUCUGUUUUUGGUCUUGUUGUUCCUCACAGGUCAUGUUAAUAUUUAAAAACUUACAAUGGGGAAUGCAUUUUACUUUUAAAAUAUCCUUUGGGUUCCAACCUAGAUCUUAGAACAUUUCCCCCUAAGUACAAUGAGGAGCUGGAUUUCACUGGAAAGAAAGAUGUGUGUCAAUUAUUUAAGCUGGGUUAUUGAAGACAUUUAAUUUUGUUUUCCUUCUUUCUGUCAAAAGAUGUUUUGUUUCUGCUCUAUAUACUCCCAAAGGCAUACACAAGAGAACCAUUCAGAAAAGCUCCAUUCAUAGCCCAUUGUUUAUUUGGUUGUGUUCCCUUUUUGUGUAGCCGUUGAAACUUGCGGCAAUGUAAUUCUGACCUAGAAAAACAGAAGCUAGAUUUUAUUUCUUAUAUAUCUAGAAUGGCAUCUUCAGUCUCUCAAAGGAUACACCUUCCAAACAUUAGAUGGUUCACUGAACGCUGCUACUGAAACAUAAAUUGUACAAAUGCUGCUAUUCCUAAGAUGCAACUCAACGCCCUUCCACACUGCCCCUUUAUCCCAGGAUCCAAUACCAGAUUAUCUGUUUAUCCCAAGUUAUUUGGCAGUGGGGACUCAUAUAUUCCAGUUUAAAGCAGAUAAUCUAGGAUCUGAUCCUAGAGGCCCCAAGUCUCCAUUUGGCAGGUCUGCAUUUGAUCCCUGCUCCAUCAACUCCACCAGAAAGGGAGGAAACAAUAAAGGAUCAGUAUUGGUCACAUAUGUUUUUUUAUGUCACCUUUUAAAAAAGUUUUGUGGUCUAAGUUUCUAACCAGUUAUUGAUUAAUAUUGUGUUUUUGCUUUCUAUCACAAAAUCUUAAAGUGGUUAGAGAAAGGAAAGCUAACAAACUACAAUAGAAACAAUAAAACAAUUCAUUACAAUUUCAAGCAUAGCGAUCAGCAAAAUACUUGGGCUAACAGACAUUUUCAAUUGAUGGCAGAAACAUAUACUGAUAAAAUAUUAAACUUCAUGUUAUAUUACAAUGCUAAUGAUGAAUAGAUAGCCCUUUUAAUCAGUGAGAUUUUUUUUUACUUUACAGAUUUUGCUUUGCCUACAGUUACAUCUUAUGAAGGUUACAUGUGACCUGGCCAAGGUGAUAACAUGCCUUAGUUGCAUCUUCUCUGGAUUACUGUAACACACUCUACAUGAAAUUGUCUUUGAAGAGUGUUUGGAAGCUUGAGUCAGUCCAAAAAGCUGCAGACAGACUAUCAACUGGGGAACACACACAACUCUCUUGUUGCAACAGCUCCAUUGGCUGCCAGCCUGUUUCCAGGCACAGUUCAAAGUCCUUGUUAUGACCUAAAAACCCUACAUGGCAUUUUAAGUAUGUUUGUUUUAGAGACCCAAACUGGGGAAAAGAUGGGGACCAACAACAACAAAUACAUUGAAAAAUUGGACUUGAUUCACUAAAGGUUAGAGUUGACCCACAACAUUUAUCAAGUCUAGAGAAGGAAAUGGAAAAGCAUUUGAGGAGUAAGACUGGAAUAAUCUUAAAAUAAUGCUCUGAAGGAAAGGGAGAUAAUCUGAAUUUUGUAUUAGUUUGUGUUGGUAAAUGUGUAGCUUCAGACAUGCAAAGAACAAACCAAAAUUUGACAGAACUAAACACCGGAGGAGGCAUGAUUUUGUUUUGUUUUUUAAGCAGUGUUUUUCCACUACAGUUCCUACAACAGCAAAUCUAUUUCUGUAACAAUGACUAGAAGCUUUUCAGAAUUCGAUGGAUCAUUCUUUGUACAGCAUUGUUGAAGUGAUGUCCAUACUAAAGAUGUGAUAAUAUAGAGAUUUAUUCAUAUAAAGAGAUCAGAUUACUCAACACAAAUAUUUUCAAAACAUUUAUUUUUCAUCCUCCAGAGAACUUCAAAAACAGAAAAUAGGAGCUAGAAUUCAACAGUGUUAAAAUGCUCCUAAAAUUAUUGGUAUCUGUGAGUUUAAAGAUUUGAUCCUAAACAUAUGUCUUGUUUAAUUCAACUCAGCUUAAAGCUUAACUGCAAGGCAAUCCUCUAUAAAUUUGUCUUGAAAUAAG